RNA transcript from Panonychus citri (citrus red mite), 2987 nucleotides. It is a transcript of the gene named inositol polyphosphate-5-phosphatase A-like, with no coding region annotated. Lineage: Eukaryota; Metazoa; Arthropoda; Arachnida; Trombidiformes; Tetranychidae. The record is from RefSeq and is a predicted model, not a curated record. The transcript is spliced from 13 exons.
GAUUGGAGAAAAUGUUGAAUUAGUAACUUUUUGAUUCCAAUUGAUUGUGAUCUCGUUUUAUCGAUUGGUGAUCAAAGUUAACGUCUCACUUGUAAUUAGUAAAUUGUUGUAAAUUAUCUAAUUCGUCAACAAUGUAGUCUAAACAUUUUCUUCUAAAAAUGUCUCUUUAAGCUUUUCUCUCUCUUUGGUUCUGUCUCCCUCUCGAUCUGUGUUUAGAUCGCAAGUUAAUAUCAAUCAUUUUCUUCGCGUUUUUUUCUUGUGUUUUUCUAUUCUUUUUUCUCACCAUUUUAAUUGUGUUUCUCUCUUGUGGUUGAUCAUCUUUUUUUUUCUUUUUGAUUGCUGCCAAUUUCUACAAUCAAUUGUUCAACAUGGAAUGUACCUUCUUAUUAAUCACUGCAAAUGUUGGUUCCCUUUUUGAAGAUCCUGAAGGUCUUCUUAAAUUAUGGCUUGAUGAAUUUUUCAAGACCAUAAGUGAAUCUAAUCCAAUGUUCAUCGCAUUACAUUGUCAAGAAGUUGGCGGAAAAACUUAUGAAAUAUCCAUGAAAAAUGUACAACAAUUUGUCAAUUACCUCGUUGAAAGCGAAACACUACAAAACUAUUCAAAUGCUCGAGUUUUCUUGGAUGAAGAUUUCACGUGCACCAAAAAUUUCACGGCUCUUGGAAGUUUCUAUUUUAUUCAUGAAGCUGUAAAGAACAUCAAGAUUUGGAAUUUUCAAGAUAAAAGUUUUCAUCCUGUUCAUGGAAAAGAAAUUUUCUCCGGAAACAUUGAAGAAGUUUCUUUCAAAGAAAAAGCCAAAUUUCCACAAGAAUUUUUUCCAGAGUGUAAAUGGUCACGAAAGGGUUUUAUGAGAACUCGCUGGUUCUGUAACGAUAUCAUUUACGAUUUAACCAACAUUCAUCUUUUUCAUGAUGCUUCAAACUUCAUUGCCAUGGAAUCAUGUCCAUCUUCUUACUCAACAAUCAGGCUUCAUGCUCUUCAAUAUGUUCUGGACAGAUUCUCGAACGAUGCUUAUGAAAAAGUUCCUCUUUUCAUCUUUGGAGAUUUCAAUUUCAGGCUUGACACUAAAGCCGCUAUUCAGAGAAUCACUGAAAAUUUUGCCCAAGUACAAAUGAGAAAUGAAAAUAGUGGUGCCAUAGAAAAGAUACUUUAUAAUGACCCGGAUUCUGAUGAUAAAACUGUUCUUACUUUGGAAAAAAAAGUAUUCGAUCUGAUUGAUCAUGAUGAAAUUUUCCUCAAUGAAGAAAAUCGUGAUUGGCUUCUUGAUAUGGAUAAAGAAGUUAAGUCAUUUGAAGAUCAACUUUUCGAGUGUGACAUUAACUUCCCUCCAAGUUAUCCGUUCACCGAAGAUUCGACAAGUUCGUCUUAUAUGAAAACUCGUUGUCCCGCUUGGUGUGAUAGGAUUCUCAUGAAUAACUUGGCCAUGGAACUAUUAAAGAGUCAAUCGGAAAAUGGUGUUAAAUAUGAAAUGAUUGGUAAACAUGUUCCAAUGGGCGAUCAUAAGCCAAUUUCUCUAUGGUUUAAGGUGAUUUCUAGUGCAGGUAAAUGGCGAAGUGGAUUUGCUUUAUUACCCAAACGAAAACGUGAUGAUCCUUUGCAUGAUUGUGAUUAUGAGACCAAUAGUCAUAGUGAUAGAUCCAAACCUCGCCUGAGAACCUUUUCCAUUCCCUCUAUCAGUCGACCCAUCAAAUCGCACCCUAAAGCACGAAGAACCGCAUCAGCUGUUUCCGGCUGUAAGCCCAUUUACCAUAAUCAAGAUUGGUACACUCGAACCCAAGAAUUGUUCCGUUCUUUUCGAGAGUCAACAUAUAAUUUAACCAAAGCUUCAUCAAGUAGAUUAACAAGUCACCAUUCCAGCUCUUCGGAAGAAUGGUAUUCAGACUUACCUGUAGAUCUCAACAAUGCCAAUAACAAUAGUUUGGAGAUGAGUAAAAACACCAAUAGCCAAACGAACACGGGUAAACUUGGACCAAUCGAUUGUGUGACUUUAGAAGCAGAUUCAAAGCUAAAUAAUAUCGUCUCUUAUUUGGAGAGACCAAAAAAACCUAAAGGUCAUCAUAAUCUUGAGCAUCGUUUAAGUGAUGUAAAGGAAAGUGUUGAACUAAUUGAUGGUCAAGGUGAAGAUGAAGAUUAUGAAUUAAAUGAAGACAAUUCAAUGAAAAGUAAACAAUUGACUGGUGAUUCUUUAAAUGGAUUCAAAAUUAAAUCAUCCGAGUAUAAUAAGAAAACUAAUGAAAGUAAAUCAAAGUUUAUCUACAACAAACGACGAGAAUCAUGUCCAAAGUAUUGCUCCGUAAUCUGAGAGACUGGAACACUGACCACAAUCAAAUCCUCCAUCUAAUCAACUCUUUUUUUUGACAAUCAUAUUACACUCACCAUAAUUAUUUUUGUUUAAUUAGUCUAAUUUUUUUAAAUAUUGUUCACAUCUUGAUUAAUUUGUUCAACAUCAACUUGCCUCCUGAUGAAAAGUGAAAAGUAUUGACCAUUAUACUUAUAUGAAAAUCCUGCGAGAUUUUAACCUGAAUCGGGAAACCAAAUGAUCGACUUGGUCUCAACUAUCAACGAAAAUCGACAACUUAAUCAAAUUAUUUUGUUGAUCAUCUUUUAGAUCAUCUUUUCGUUACAAUUUAAAUCUUGUUACCAAAUGACCUUAAUCUCGAAAUGAGACUGAAUCGAUUUGUUGUUGCACGUUCACUCGAACCACCGUUAGAACAUUUUUACUUUUUGUUUCGUCCAAUGGUUAACCCUUUUUACUUUUUAUUUUUGAAUCUCGUUUAUUAUUCACUGACCAUGAUUAUUAUCACCACCAAUUGCAUGUGCCUUUAAACUGACCACCAAUUAAAUGCUGAUAACAUUGAAAGGCAAUCAGGAAGAAUCAGUGAAACAAUUAAACAACAACAUAUCAAUAACAAUCACAAAGAGACCAAAUUAAUUAACGAUCAAAUCGAUACCUGUUGUACCAGAACCGAUGAAACCGGGACCCGUUAUG